AUUGAACGCUGGCGGCAUGCUUUACACAUGCAAGUCGAACGGUAACAGGCCGCAAGGUGCUGACGAGUGGCGCACGGGUGAGUAAUGCAUCGGAACGUGCCCAGUCGUGGGGGAUAACUACUCGAAAGAGUAGCUAAUACCGCAUACGAUCUAUGGAUGAAAGCGGGGGACCGUAAGGCCUCGCGCGAUUGGAGCGGCCGAUGUCAGAUUAGGUAGUUGGUGGGGUAAAGGCUCACCAAGCCAACGAUCUGUAGCUGGUCUGAGAGGACGACCAGCCACACUGGGACUGAGACACGGCCCAGACUCCUGCGGGAGGCAGCAGUGGGGAAUUUUGGACAAUGGGCGCAAGCCUGAUCCAGCAAUGCCGCGUGCAGGAAGAAGGCCUUCGGGUUGUAAACUGCUUUUGUACGGAACGAAACGGCUCUGGUUAAUACCCGGGGCUAAUGACGGUACCGUAAGAAUAAGCACCGGCUAACUACGUG
This 482-nucleotide ribosomal RNA is filed under the name uncultured bacterium. RNAcentral's name for it is "partial 16S ribosomal RNA". It matches the Rfam family "Bacterial small subunit ribosomal RNA", at positions 30 to 507 of the family's 1533-position model. The record is from RNAcentral.